Molecule: ribosomal RNA, 596 nt
Filed under: Pseudomonas sp. E(2010)
Lineage: Bacteria; Pseudomonadati; Pseudomonadota; Gammaproteobacteria; Pseudomonadales; Pseudomonadaceae
Description: bacterial SSU rRNA
Rfam family: Bacterial small subunit ribosomal RNA
Source: RNAcentral
AUGGACGCUGGCGGCAGGCCUAUCACAUGCAAGUCGAGCGGAUGAAGGGAGCUUGCUCCUGGAUUCAGCGGCGGACGGGUGAGUAAUGCCUAGGAAUCUGCCUGGUAGUGGGGGAUAACGUCCGGAAACGGGCGCUAAUACCGCAUACGUCCUGAGGGAGAAAGUGGGGGAUCUUCGGACCUCACGCUAUCAGAUGAGCCUAGGUCGGAUUAGCUAGUUGGUGGGGUAAAGGCCUACCAAGGCGACGAUCCGUAACUGGUCUGAGAGGAUGAUCAGUCACACUGGAACUGAGACACGGUCCAGACUCCUACGGGAGGCAGCAGUGGGGAAUAUUGGACAAUGGGCGAAAGCCUGAUCCAGCCAUGCCGCGUGUGUGAAGAAGGUCUUCGGAUUGUAAAGCACUUUAAGUUGGGAGGAAGGGCAGUAAGUUAAUACCUUGCUGUUUUGACGUUACCAACACAAUAAGCACCGGCUAACUUCGUGCCAGCUGCCGCGGUAAUACGAAAGGUGCAAGCCUUUAAUCGGAAUUUCUGGGAGAAAAGCGGGCGUAGGGGUUCGGCAGGUCCAUGUGAAAUCCCCGGGUUUAAACUGGGGAG